AACGAACGCUGGCGGCAGGCCUAACACAUGCAAGUCGAGCGAGGACUUCGGUCCUAGCGGCGGACGGGUGAGUAACGCGUGGGAACGUGCCCUUUGCUUCGGAAUAGCCCUGGGAAACUGGGAGUAAUACCGGAUGAGCCCUUUGGGGGAAAGAUUUAUCGGGGAAGGAUCGGCCCGCGUUGGAUUAGGUAGUUGGUGGGGUAAUGGCCUACCAAGCCGACGAUCCAUAGCUGGUUUGAGAGGAUGAUCAGCCACACUGGGCCUGAGACACGGCCCAGACUCCUACGGGAGGCAGCAGUGGGGAAUCUUAGACAAUGGGGGAAACCCUGAUCUAGCCAUGCCGCGUGAGCGAUGAAGGCCUUAGGGUUGUAAAGCUCUUUCAGCUGGGAAGAUAAUGACGGUACCAGCAGAAGAAGCCCCGGCUAACUCCGUG
This 433-nucleotide ribosomal RNA is filed under the name uncultured bacterium. RNAcentral describes it as "partial 16S ribosomal RNA". It matches the Rfam family "Bacterial small subunit ribosomal RNA", at positions 29 to 507 of the family's 1533-position model. The record is from RNAcentral.